CCUACGGGAGGCAGCAGUGGGGGAUAUUGCACAAUGGGGGCAACUCUGAUGCAGCGAUGCCGCGUGGGUGAAGAAGCGCCUCGGCGCGUAAAGCCCUGUCAGCAGGGAGGAAAAUGACGGUACCUGUAGCAGAAGCACCGGCUCACUCCGUGCAAGAAGCCGCGUUAAUACGUAGGGGGCCAGCGUUAUCCGGAUUUAUCGGGUGUAAAGGGGGUGCAGUCGGCGUUGCAAGCCAGGAGUGAAAGCCAGGGGCCCAACCCCGGGACUGCUCUUGGAACUGCGUGGCUAGAGUGCAGGAGGGGCAGGCGGAAUGCCUGGUGUAGCGGUGAAAUGCGUAGAUAUCAGGAGGAACACCGGUGGCGAAGGCGGCCUGCUAAACUGCAACUGACGUUGAGGCCCGAAAGCGUGGGGAGCAAACAGGAUUAGAUACCCCUGUAGUC
This 440-nucleotide ribosomal RNA is filed under the name uncultured bacterium. Its description in RNAcentral is "partial 16S ribosomal RNA". It matches the Rfam family "Bacterial small subunit ribosomal RNA", at positions 338 to 795 of the family's 1533-position model. The record is from RNAcentral.